AAUAAUUUUUAAUGAUUUUAAGUGUCUGUGUGUUAAAAGUAAAAAAAAAAUAUGUUAAAAAUUCAAUAAAAUUGUUAAUAAUAAUAAUGAAAACAAUUUAACUAAAAUUGUGUAGCUCUACUUAACAAAAUACAACAACGCAAGUAUUAGUUGUUGUCUGAUUUCUUUUAAUUUUAAUUGACUCUGGGUCUUCUAGUAGUUAAAAUCAAACUCAAUACAAAUACUGCGUUCAUGGUAGAAAUCAAAUUUUCGCGUUUUAAACACAAAAAAAUUAAAUAUUUUUAAAUAAAAUAGUGAAAAACGUUAACAAAAGUUUAAAAUUA
This is a long non-coding RNA of Lucilia cuprina (Australian sheep blowfly), 323 nucleotides long. RefSeq lists it as uncharacterized. Lineage: Eukaryota; Metazoa; Arthropoda; Insecta; Diptera; Calliphoridae. The record is from RefSeq and is a predicted model, not a curated record. The transcript has 2 exons.